UGGGGAAUAUUGCACAAUGGACGGAAGUCUGAUGCAGCAACGCCGCGUGCGGGAUGAAGGCCUUCGGGUUGUAAACCGCUUUCGAUCACGACGAAUGUGACGGUAGUGAUUAAAGAAGCACCGGCUAACUACGUGCCAGCAGCCGCGGUGAUACGUAGGGUGCGAGCGUUGUCCGGAUUUAUUGGGCGUAAAGAGCUCGUAGGUGGUUUGUUGCGUCGGGAGUGAAAACACACGGCUUAACUGUGUGCUUGCUUUCGAUACGGGCAGACUUGAGGAAGGUAGGGGAGAACGGAAUUCCUGGUGGAGCGGUGGAAUGCGCAGAUAUCAGGAGGAACACCGGUGGCGAAGGCGGUUCUCUGGACCUUUCCUGACGCUGAGGAGCGAAAGCGUGGGGAGCAAACAGG
RNAcentral lists this ribosomal RNA (404 nucleotides) under uncultured bacterium. RNAcentral describes it as "bacterial SSU rRNA". It matches the Rfam family "Bacterial small subunit ribosomal RNA", at positions 355 to 776 of the family's 1533-position model. The record is from RNAcentral.